RNAcentral lists this ribosomal RNA (32 nucleotides) under Armillaria sp. 5 TG-2016. RNAcentral describes it as "partial small subunit ribosomal RNA". The record is from RNAcentral. Lineage: Eukaryota; Fungi; Basidiomycota; Agaricomycetes; Agaricales; Physalacriaceae.
GGUUUCGGUAGGUGACCUGCGGAGGAUCAUUA